This 499-nucleotide ribosomal RNA is filed under the name uncultured bacterium. RNAcentral's name for it is "bacterial SSU rRNA". It matches the Rfam family "Bacterial small subunit ribosomal RNA", at positions 26 to 518 of the family's 1533-position model. The record is from RNAcentral.
AGGAUGAACGCUAGCGAUAGGCUAACACAUGCAAGUCGAGGGGCAGCACGGUGUAGCAAUACACUGGUCGGCGACCGGCGUACGGGUGCGUAACACGUAUGCAACCUACCCGCUAUUGGGGGAUAACCCGGCGAAAGUCGGACUAAUACCCAUAUUAUUCUUACCGGGCAUCCGGUAGGUCUGAAAGAUUUAUCGAUUGCGGAUGGGCAUGCGGAUGAUUAGCUAGUAGGUGGGGUAACGGCUCACCUAGGCGACGAUCAUUAGGGGUUCUGAGAGGAAGGUCCCCCACACUGGAACUGAGACACGGUCCAGACUCCUACGGGAGGCAGCAGUGAGGAAUAUUGGUCAAUGGGCGCUAGCCUGAACCAGCCAAGUCGCGUGAAGGAUGACAGAAUCUAUGGUUUGUAAACUUCUUUUGCAGGGGAGUAAAGUGCGACACGUGUGUUGUAUUGCAAGUACCCUGCGAAUAAGCAUCGGCUAACUCCGUGCCAGCAGCUGC